GUGAAUCAUCGAAUUUUUGAACGCAAAUUGCACUCUCUGGUAUUCCGGAGAGUAUGCCUGUUUGAGGGUCAGUUUAAAUAAAAAUCGGUGUGGUUUCUGCUUUUUGUGGUGACGCACCGGAUUUGUGUCGUCUUGUCUUCGGUUAUGCGAUCUAUAAUAUUUCAUUGUUUUUUUCGAACGUAUUUACAUUAUUUUAUCUCCUUUUGCGAUAUUG
Molecule: unclassified non-coding RNA, 214 nt
Filed under: Glomeromycotina sp.
Lineage: Eukaryota; Fungi; Glomeromycota
Description: partial contains 5.8S ribosomal RNA and internal transcribed spacer 2
Rfam family: 5.8S ribosomal RNA (bases 1-71)
Source: RNAcentral